Molecule: unclassified non-coding RNA, 148 nt
Organism: Pongo abelii (Sumatran orangutan)
Lineage: Eukaryota; Metazoa; Chordata; Mammalia; Primates; Hominidae
Rfam family: Metazoan signal recognition particle RNA
About the family: The signal recognition particle (SRP) is a universally conserved ribonucleoprotein.
Source: Ensembl
GCCAGGCGUGGUGGUACAUGCCUGUAGUCCCAGCUACUUGGGAGGCUGAGGCAGGAGAAUCGCUUGAACCCGGGAGGUGGAGGCUGCAGUGAGCUGAGAUGGCGCCACUGCACUCUACCCUGGGUGACAGAGUGAGACUCUGUCUCAA